AUGAAGGAAAAAAGUUUUGGUGCGGGUACAGCUGACUAGCACAAAAAUAACGUUGUGAUAGUCAAAACGAUACGAUAUAUUGUCAAAUCACUGCUGCAAUCCAUAUCCUGGCCAUCACUGCUGCAACGCACACACAUUUAGCUCGACAAAUAGGAGUGAAAAUGCGCUUCCAUAAAAGUUGUUCAACAAUCUUGGGCAGAGGGCCAGGAAAUGGAUUUCAUCUGACUAGCUUCUUCUUGGGCUGUCAACAGUCAAAUCUAUUGGAGGUGCCUCCAUAUCCAUAGUGCUGCAAUGGACUCCUGGGCCUGGGAGCUGGCUUGGAUCUAUGGAGGACAGAAGUGAGGCUUUGGUCAUGGAGUCCUCUGACAGAAAGAUAGGUUGAUACUGAUGUCUGAAUUAGGAAAGAUUGUGUACUCCGCAUUAAAAUGAUACCAGGCACAUCUAGAACUUUUCAAUGUGAAUGACAAUAAA
Oncorhynchus mykiss (rainbow trout) is the source of this 471-nucleotide non-coding RNA. The record is from RefSeq and is a predicted model, not a curated record. NCBI's taxonomy places the organism in Eukaryota, Metazoa, Chordata, Actinopteri, Salmoniformes, Salmonidae.